AUGAGAGUUAAGCUUAGUUCAGCAAAAGUUUUGAACCCCUCAAGUGUGCCAGGUGCUGUACAAGGAGCCAGCAACACGCAUAUGAAGGAGACAUGGCCACUGUUGUGGAGGAACUCACAGGAGAGAACCAGGGUUGAGAAGAAAAGAAUCUGCCGGAUGCUGUGUUGCCAAUGGCUUAGUUGUCUGGAGGUGAGCAAGGAAGAUCUGCUUGGAUUAGUGCCACCAAAGGUGGGCUUAUUCUCCUCAUGGAGGUAGUCAGGACUUGGAAACAGCCAGGAUUUCAGGAGAGACGCAAGGCAAAAUGAACAAGAGAGCCUCUAUAACCUUAAAAAAAAAAAAAACAGAAGAAGAAGAAGAAAGAAAGAAAAGCACAAGCCAAUUACUUUUCCGGGAGCUGGCCUGAUGCAGUUCAAUCCGGAGUGGCCAACCUGUGAGGAACUGGGCACUUGCUGAUUUCAACAGAAACCCAGCUGAGGCUUCUCCACCCAGGAAGGUAUGAUCAAGUUAAGAGAGUAAUUGGUGAAAGAGAUUAUGAUUUGGAAAUAGCUGCCAUUUUGUUCCACUAAACAGAGUAGGUCAGAAAGAAAGAACUAAGCGAAACCAUUUAAUUAGUGCUCCUGAUGCUCAAAAAAGCUGGAGUCAAAAAUGAAACUCUCAGAUAGCAAACCUGUGUUCUUCAUUUUGGUGUCUUCAUUUAGAAUGGGACAGCGCCCAUGUCAGCAGCUAUGUUGAGAAAUAUUAAGCAGAAAUGAAAAAAUGCAAUAUAUAUAAAAAAUUGAAUAAAAUUGUCUCAAAAACAUAUUUAAAUAUUUUAUUUGAUUUUGAAUAGGUAAUACAUAUUCAGGGUACUAAACUUGUAUGGCACAAAAGGAUAAACAAUAAAGAGUAACUCUCCAUCUUAUCUCUGUCACAGGCAACCAGUUCUCACAGGAGGCGGCCUCCGUUACUCAUUAUAUAUGGAUAUUUCCAGACAUGUUUCAUAUAUCUGUACAUGUGUGUAUCAUGUAUGUACAUAUAAUUUUUUACACAGUUGGGACUACACUAUUUAUACUCAUCUGUGCUUUGCCUUUUUAUCCACAUAACAAUACAACAGUUAAAUAGGUUUCUGCAUCAUUACACAACUUAUUUUCGUGUUAUUUUUUAUCACACAACGUUCCAUUGUAUAGUUUCAUAAUUUAUUUAACCUGUACCCUACUAAUAACAUUUAGGCAGUUUCAAAUUUUUGCAUGUAUAACCAAUAUCUCAACAGAUCAUUGAUACAUAAAUCAUUUCACACAUUUGCAAAUACAUCUGUAGGAAAAAUUCCUCAAAUUGGAAUUGCUAAGCCAAAGGUAUGUGCACUUGUCAUUUUGAUAGAUAUUGACAAAUUUGCCUCAACUAAGAUUGUACCAAUUUAUACUUUAACCAUCAGCGUGUGAAAUGACUCACUCUCCCCUUCCUCAUGGACUCAGCAUGUUAUAAAAUGUGUUGAUCAUUGUCAAUCUGAUAUGAAAUAGCAUUUUCUGAUAAUUUAACUUGAAAUUCUCUCAUCUUUAGUGAAUUAAUAAUGCUUUAUCCCUUUUGAUUAAACUGUUAGACAUUUUCUUAUUGACAUAAUUUUUUCUAUAUUAAAUAUUCUAUAUUAAUUUUUUAUAUUAAAAUUAACCCAUUAAAGUGUGUCAAAUAUGGUAGCCAUCAGCACCAUAUGGCUCUUGAACACUUGAAAUGUGGCUAGUUCAAAUUGUGAUGCACACUAAUUAUAAAAUACCAGAUUUCUUUGAAAAAG
Molecule: long non-coding RNA, 1765 nt
Organism: Callithrix jacchus (white-tufted-ear marmoset)
Lineage: Eukaryota; Metazoa; Chordata; Mammalia; Primates; Cebidae
Source: Ensembl